AUGUGUUCUGCUUUCCCAGGGUCCGUGGCCGGAGGGCUGCAGCGGCCUCAUUUAUUCAUUUGUGCCAGGCACCCUGUUAAUCAUGGAGAUACCAUGUUGACCUGCCUUCAAGGAGACCAUAUUCUAGUGGGAGAGCUGAGCAGCGAGCUGGCCAUGUGUAGACGGUGCUACAUGAAAGACCACCCUGAUGUAGAAGCCAGAUGGAGCAUCUUGGCUUCCUGCUCCUUUUCUUUCAUAUGACGCAGAAAAGUCUCUGGGUAUUGCAGUUGGGCCAGACCUGCAGAAAAAGAGAACAUUCAGUUGAACAGAAGAACAUAUUCUGGAGAAAAUGGGGAAGAGAGUGAAGACACAGCUGGUUCAAGGGAAAAAUGCCAACUGAGCACAGAGAGAAAAAUGCCUGCUGAGAGCUCUACAAAUAAAGAAAAAACUUACAUAAAAUGGUGAGAAGCACAGGAGAGGACAGGGCUGGGGCUGGGAGGCUGAAGUUCCAGGACUGGUUCUGCAUUUGCUGCUGUGUGACAUUGGGCCAGUGACUUCCCAUCUGUGGGCUUCAGUUUUCUCAAUUAUCAUCUGUUCUCCUGCUUUCUCUAUAACAUUCAUUUAUUGAUUCCUUGAUUCAAGAAUAUUUCUUAAGCACCCAGUUUGUGCCAGGUACAGCUGUCAGUGCUAGUGAUUCAGCAAUGAACAAAGUGGACAAAAAGCACAUCCUUAUGUGAGCCCUCAUGUGUGCAGCAAACACAAUCAGUGAAAUAUGGUGCAGGUUCAUUUGCGAUAAGGAGAAAACAGAAAGCACAGAAGGGGUCAGGCAGUCUAAUCUGGAAGGGUGACCUCUGAGUCAAGACAUAAGGAGGUGAGGGAGUGAGCCAGGACGACAUCUGGGCAAAGCCUGCUCCAGGCAGAGGGGAGAGCCAGUGUGAGAGCUGCCCUGAAUGCAAAGCCUACCCACUGCCCCUUCUUUUGGUGUCUCCACUGGCCUGCUGGCUGCAGCAGCCUUCUAUCAGACCUCUCAGCCUCCAUCUCCUUCCCUGGGGUCUUCUAGCCUCACAUGGCCAGCCAGGGUGACUCUAAAACAUAAGUCAGACCCCAUCACAUCCCUGCUCAAAACCCACCAGGUGCUCCCACCACAUUCAAUGCAGUGCAAGUCCUCACCAUUGUCCUCUAGCAUCUCUCCAAGCCCCAUCUGCCUCCUCUCUCCUUCACUUGCUCCUUUCCAGCUACACUGGCCUCUGCUGUACCUGGGACAUGCCAAGCAAGCCCCAGCCUUGGGGUCUUUGCUCACAGCCUCUGCCUGGAUGUUCUUCCCCCAGUUAUCCACAGGUCUGGCUUCCUGACUUCAUUCAGAGGCCACCCUCUCAAGAGGACACCCUUGACUGUCUUGUCUAAGCAAGACCUUGUCACAUCCAACCACUCACCUGGCUUUAUUUUUCCUUACUGCAUUUAUCAUGACCUCCCAUCAUUUUAUAUAUUUAUAAUAGUAGAUAUAAUCAAUGGAUCAGAUGUUUAUUAUGUGAUGGACACUGUUCCAAACAUCCUAGAAUUAAUCAUCUUCUCCCAAACUCCUUGAGAAUGGUAUUGUUAUUGACCACAUUUUAUAGAUCAAUAACCCAAGAUAGAGAGAGGUUAAGAAAUUUGCUCAAGGUCUCCCAUCUGGUGAGUGUCAGAUCAGGAUUCAAAUCCUGGAGCUUCCAUUAUGAGCCACAACACUCUAGACCAGGGCUGCCCAGUAGAACUUUGCAAUGACGAAAAUGUUCUGUGUCUGCACUGCCCGAAGUGACUGCCACUGGAUACAUGUAACUGUUGAGCACUUGAAAUGUGUGUGACCAAGGAACUGAAUUUUGAAUUUUAUUGCAUUUCCAUGACUUUAGAUUUAAAUAGCCAGGCUAGUGGCUACCAAAUUGUACAUAGAGCCCUAGCACCUCUUAUUUGCUCCUUUGUUAAUUUCUGUCUGCCACAUAAGGAUGAAACUGGCCUAUGCAUUAGUUUCCUCAUUUUACAGUAAGGGAAACACCCCUGGCACAAAGUAAAUACUCAAUGCUUAUUAAUCACCAUCAUCAUCACCAUCAUUAUAACAUUAUCAUUAUUAGUCUCCACAAGACCGAUGACUUUAUGUUUGUUCAUUCCUGAAUCCCAUUACAUUCUUUAGCACAUAGCAGGUGUUCAAUAAAUAUAUUACGAAUGAACG
This 2182-nucleotide long non-coding RNA is filed under the name Pongo abelii (Sumatran orangutan). RNAcentral's name for it is "lincRNA". Lineage: Eukaryota; Metazoa; Chordata; Mammalia; Primates; Hominidae. The record is from RNAcentral.